RNAcentral lists this long non-coding RNA (1594 nucleotides) under Gallus gallus (chicken). RNAcentral describes it as "long non-coding RNA NONGGAT000955". Lineage: Eukaryota; Metazoa; Chordata; Aves; Galliformes; Phasianidae. The record is from RNAcentral.
GGCGGGGCCAUCCAGUAGGGGAGCGGGAAGGAGCUUUACGGAGCGUUUGAUGCAAGGCCAAAAGCAAACUGGGAUAUCCAGUACUACAGAUCCAGAUAAAAAGAAAAAAAUAAGAGAACCCUGAGAUAAAUCUGAGUCAUCUGAAGCGCAGCUGAGAAAACAGAGAAGUGUCUGAACUCAAAGCAGCACUCCCUAGUUGCCUCACAAGGAAGGUGUCUCCAUGAAUACUGACCAGCCAGCAACAGCACUGCAGCCAGUCCCCUGAGAGAAAGCUCCCUCCAGUUCUGACCACUGCCACAGAAAGGAGAAUGAGAGCCCCCAACGCACUCCAAUGCUAUUCUUCAUGGGAUCUCAGCUCAUCACGACACAGAAGAAGAAACACUAGAAACUGACUUGUAACCAGUGCUCUUCACUCAGUGUUGUCAAGCACAUGUGUCACUGGGCUGGUAGAUUAAACCUGUGUCCAUAAUGAAGAGGAGGAGCCAAGUGGUCCACCAGUAAAGAUCCCAGUCUGCUUCAAAUGUUGUUGGUUCCUUUCCUAAUGGAUGCCACAAAUAUCCUGCACAGAACACAGCACAGACCACGUUAAUGCAGCACACCAGGGUGGCAGUGGCACUCUUCUAAGGCUGUUCCUCCAGGAAGCUCACCAACAUCCUUGCAGGAUCAGUCUGAAGCUACGCUUUGACACUUUGCCUUUUGCAUAGAGAGGCGGCCCUAAGGUUUUUGCAUACAUUGAUACGUACAUGAAAAAGCAGAUACUUGCCCUAGUCCCAGGCACUUGCAGUAAAGAUCCAUAGAGAACUUGAAUAAUCAUAAUUUCUUAGUGCGUGAAGGAGUUCAGACUACAGAAAGAAGACAUUUCCGAGAAACAGAUUUUAUAGACUGAGCUGAACAGAUUUUUGGCAUUAUUUGUAAGCCAGUCAUUGUUAAGCCUUUGUACUUAGAAGAGCAAUUAUGACUCCUUUGGAAACAUCCUUAGUUGAACUCUUAAAAUAAUAAAAACACUCCUCCGUAAGACCACAUUAACAUAUGGUUUUCGUAAUGACAGCACAAACAAAUCACCCACUCAUCAAACACAUUUAGGAAGAAGACAGGAACAAACAGAGCAAAAAUUUUCUAAAGAUUACUUAGAGGUCCUGAUCAGUCAGGGAAAAAAAGAAAAGAAAAAAGUGAACUAAACUGAAUUCAGGUCCUGUCUAUAGGAUAUUGAAUACAGACAAAAUAUGCAACAUACAAAUAACCAAAAUCAAGAAUACCACUAAACUUUGUAAGGCAAAGUUUAUAGAUAUUAAGCUGCAAAACUGUAUUUCAAAAAAAUGUCAAGCUGUGGAUGCCUAGCUUCCUAGUUUACUUUUGAACGUUGGUGAUGCAUCAUCAGUAAGCAAGAAAGAGACAAGGUGUGUUUGCACCAGUGACCAGCUGGAAUACCUUUGCUGGACUUACCACCCCCCAGUACUUUGCAGGCAAGUCCCAGCCAAACCAUAGUCUUCACUACAUGCACUGCUUCAUCCCCAGGAGCAGCAGCAGGAACCUGCAUCCUUGAAGCACAUGUGCAUCUUCCUGGGGCUGAGCACCGGGAACAACUGGGCUACCA